AAGACCUUGCGCUUUUGGAGCGGCCGAUGCCUGAUUAGCUUGUUGGUAAGGUAAAAGCUUACCAAGGCUUCGAUCAGUAGCUGGUCUGAGAGGACGGCCAGCCACACUGGGACUGAGACACGGCCCAGACUCCCACGGGAGGCAGCAGUGGGGAAUUUUGGACAAUGGGGGCAACCCUGAUCCAGCCAUGCCGCGUGAGUGAAGAAGGCCUUCGGGUUGUAAAGCUCUUUCAGCCGGAACGAAACGGUUACGGUUAAUACCCGUGAUUACUGACGGUACCGGAAGAAGAAGCACCGGCUAACUACGUGCCAGCAGCCGCGGUAAUACGUAGGGUGCGAGCGUUAAUCGGAAUUACUGGGCGUAAAGCGUGCGCAGGUGGUUUUGUAAGUCAGAUGUGAAAGCCCCGGGCUCAACCUGGGAACU
This 423-nucleotide ribosomal RNA is filed under the name uncultured bacterium. Its description in RNAcentral is "bacterial SSU rRNA". It matches the Rfam family "Bacterial small subunit ribosomal RNA", at positions 207 to 622 of the family's 1533-position model. The record is from RNAcentral.